Flammula alnicola is the source of this 87-nucleotide non-coding RNA. Lineage: Eukaryota; Fungi; Basidiomycota; Agaricomycetes; Agaricales; Strophariaceae. The record is from the annotation of a GenBank genome assembly.
CCUUCGAUAGCUCAGCUGGAAGAGCGCAAGACUGUAAUGGGUUACAAAGCGAUCUUGAGGCCACUGGUUCGAUCCCGGUUCGAAGGA